RNAcentral lists this ribosomal RNA (839 nucleotides) under uncultured bacterium. Its description in RNAcentral is "bacterial SSU rRNA". It matches the Rfam family "Bacterial small subunit ribosomal RNA", at positions 26 to 898 of the family's 1533-position model. The record is from RNAcentral.
AGAAUCAACGCUGGCGGCGUGCCUAACACAUGCAAGUCGAACGAGAAAGUGGAGCAAUCCAUGAGUACAGUGGCGUACGGGUGAGUAACACGUGACUAACCUACCCUCGAGUGGGGAAUAACCUAGGGAAACCUGGGCUAAUACCGCAUAACAUCUUCGGAUCAAAUGCGUAAGCAGCUUGAGGAGGGGGUCGCGGCCGAUUAGCUAGUUGGCGGGGUAAUGGCCCACCAAGGCAAUGAUCGGUAGCCGGCCUGAGAGGGCGCACGGCCACACUGGAACUGAAACGCGGUCCAGACUCCUACGGGAGGCAGCAGUGGGGAAUUUUGCGCAAUGGGGGAAACCCUGACGCAGCAACGCCGCGUGGAGGAUGAAGCCCCUUGGGGCGUAAACUCCUUUCGACCAAGACGAUAAUGACGGUACUGGUGGAAGAAGCACCGGCUAACUCUGUGCCAGCAGCCGCGGUAAUACGGAGGGUGCAGGCGUUGUUCGGAAUUAUUGGGCGUAAAGGGCGCGUGGGCGGCGCGGUAAGUCACCUGUGAAAUCUCCAAGCUUAACUUGGAGCCUGCAGGCGAAACUGCCGUGCUGGAGUAUGGGAGAGGUGCGUGGAAUUCCCGGUGUAGCGGUGAAAUGCGUAGAUAUCGGGAGAACACCUGUGGCGAAAGCGGCGCACUGGACCAUAACUGACGCUGAGGCGCGAAAGCUAGGGGAGCAAACAGGAUUAGAUACCCUGGUAGUCCACGCCCUAAACGAUGCAUACUUGGUGUGAGCGAUUCAUUUCGUUCGUGCCGGAGCUAACGCGUUAAGUAUGCCGCCCUGGGGAGUACGGUCGCAAGGCUGAA